GUGGGGAAUCUUGCGCAAUGGGCGAAAGCCUGACGCAGCCAUGCCGCGUGAAUGAUGAAGGUCUUAGGAUUGUAAAAUUCUUUCACCGGGGACGAUAAUGACGGUACCCGGAGAAGAAGCUCCGGCUAACUUCGUGCCAGCAGCCACGGUAAUACGAAGGGGGCUAGCGUUGCUCGGAAUUACUGGGCGUAAAGGGCGCGUAGGCGGACAGCUUAGUCAGAGGUGAAAGCCCAGGGCUCAACCUUGGAAUUGCCUUUGAUACUGGCUGUCUUGAGUUUGGGAGAGGUGAGUGGAACUCCGAGUGUAGAGGUGAAAUUCGUAGAUAUUCGGAAGAACACCAGUGGCGAAGGCGACUCACUGGCCCAAUACUGACGCUGAGGCGCGAAAGCGUGGGGAGCAAACAGGAUUAGAAACCCCGGUAGUCC
RNAcentral lists this ribosomal RNA (425 nucleotides) under uncultured bacterium. Its description in RNAcentral is "partial 16S ribosomal RNA". It matches the Rfam family "Bacterial small subunit ribosomal RNA", at positions 354 to 796 of the family's 1533-position model. The record is from RNAcentral.